Molecule: ribosomal RNA, 710 nt
Filed under: uncultured bacterium
Lineage: Bacteria
Description: bacterial SSU rRNA
Rfam family: Bacterial small subunit ribosomal RNA
Source: RNAcentral
CAGUCGAACGGACUCAUACUGAAACCUAGUGAUUUAUGAGUUAGUGGCGGACCCUUGAGUAACGCGUGGAUAACCUGCCGUAUACCGGGGGAUAACACUUAGAAAUAGGUGCUAAUACCGCAUGAGCGCACAGCUCCGCAUGGGGCGGUGUGAAAAACUCCGGUGGUAUACGAUGGAUCCGCGUCUGAUUAGCCAGUUGGCGGGGUAACGGCCCACCAAAGCGACGAUCAGUAGCCGGCCUGAGAGGGUGAACGGCCACAUUGGGACUGAGACACGGCCCAGACUCCUACGGGAGGCAGCAGUGGGGAAUAUUGCACAAUGGGGGAAACCCUGAUGCAGCGACGCCGCGUGAGUGAAGAAGUAUCUCGGUAUGUAAAGCUCUAUCAGCAGGAAAGAUAAUGACGGUACCUGACUAAGAAGCCCCGGCUAACUACGUGCCAGCAGCCGCGGUAAUACGUAGGGGGCAAGCGUUAUCCGGAUUUACUGGGUGUAAAGGGAGCGUAGACGGCAGCGCAAGUCUGGAGUGAAAUGCCGGGGCCCAACCCCGGAACUGCUUUGGAAACUGUGCGGCUCGAGUGCGGGAGAGGUAGGCGGAAUUCCUAGUGUAGCGGUGAAAUGCGUAGAUAUUAGGAGGAACACCAGUGGCGAAGGCGGCUUACUGGACCGUAACUGACGUUGAGGCUCGAAAGCGUGGGGAGCAAACAGGAUUA